UACAGAGGGGGCAAGCGUUAUUCGGAAUUAUUGGGCGUAAAGGGCGCGUAGGCGGUUUUUUAAGUCGGAUGUGCAAUCCCCAGGCUCAACCUGGGAACUGCAUCCGAGACUGGAAGGCUAGAGUACUGGAGAGGGUGGUGGAAUUCCUCGUGUAGCGGUGAAAUGCGUAGAUAUCUGGAGGAACAUCAGUGGCGAAGGCGGCUUCCUGGCCCAAAACUGACGCUGAGGUGCGAAAGCGUGGGGAGCAAACAGG
This 253-nucleotide ribosomal RNA is filed under the name uncultured bacterium. RNAcentral's name for it is "partial 16S ribosomal RNA". It matches the Rfam family "Bacterial small subunit ribosomal RNA", at positions 524 to 776 of the family's 1533-position model. The record is from RNAcentral.